This is an RNA transcript of Xenia sp. Carnegie-2017, 1891 nucleotides long. It is a transcript of the gene named alanine aminotransferase 2-like, with no coding region annotated. The record is from RefSeq and is a predicted model, not a curated record. The transcript has 14 exons. Lineage: Eukaryota; Metazoa; Cnidaria; Anthozoa; Malacalcyonacea; Xeniidae.
UAAUAAUUCGUCACGCGUAAAAAAUAUAAAUCUUUGUACUGUCGUCCGCAGCACGCUGAGAAGUCUUUGUGGAAUAAAAUUGAUAAAUCGCUUGAAGAUUCAAAACAAGAUCAGCUUUCCAAUUGAAAAACAGUAGGAAAAAUCAAAAUGAAUCACAAUAAUGUCAAUGGUGGACACAGGAAGCCUCUAUCUUUGGAAACAUUAAAUGCAAAUGUUAAAAAUAUUGAAUACGCUGUUCGUGGGCCAAUAUUUCAGGAAGCAAAGAAACUGGAAGAAGAACUAGCUAAGGGUGCAAAAAAGGAUUUUACAAAGGUGAUCUUUGCCAAUAUUGGAGAUUGUCAGGCAAUGGGUCAAAAACCUAUUACUUUUAUUAGACAGGUAGUAUCGCUAUGCUUGGAUCCAUCUUUAUUAAACUGUAAUGAAUAUCCAGUGGAUGUUAAAGAAAGAGUGAGAAAGAUUCUUGGUUCAUGUCGUGGUGGCAGUGUUGGAGCGUAUACUGAUUCAAGUGGAAUAGAUUUGAUCAAAAACGAUGUUGCCAACUUUAUUGAAAGAAGAGAUGGCUAUACAUGUGAUCCAUCAGAUAUCUUUAUGUCAGGUGGAGCAAGUGAAGGUAUUAAGAAUAUGAUGAAAUGCAUUGUAAGCGUGGGUGCAGAAGAAAAAACUGGUGUCAUGAUUCCCAUUCCACAAUAUCCUCUUUAUUCAGCCACAAUCUCGGAAGUUGGAGCUUAUCAAAUCAAUUAUUAUUUGGAUGAAAAAAAUAAUUGGGCAUUGGAUGUUGAAGAGCUGAGACGUGCGUUAAAUGAAGCAAGAAAUCACUGUAGUCCAAGGCUUUUUUGUGUUAUUAAUCCGGGCAAUCCAACAGGACAAGUUUUGAGUUAUGACAAUAUCAAAGCAGUCAUCCAGUUUUGCAUGGAAGAAGGAUUAUUUCUAUUUGCUGAUGAAGUGUAUCAAGAGAAUGUGUAUGCCAAGGGAUCCAAAUUUCACUCAUUUAAGAAAGUGGUGCGUGACUUAGGAGAAGAAUAUAAGGACUUUCAGUUGGCAUCUUUUCACUCCUGUUCAAAGGGAUAUGUUGGAGAGUGUGGUAUUCGUGGCGGUUACAUGGAAGUUAUAGGUCUUGACUCAGAUGUAAAAUAUCAAAUAAGAAAGAUGCUAUCUGCAAAGCUGUGUUCUACAACAAUAGGACAGAGUGUUAUGGAUUUUGUUGUGAAUCCCCCAAAGGAAGGAGAAGAUUCAUAUCCUUUAUUUAAUAAGGAAAGAAAUGCAGUUUUAACUUCAUUGAAAGAACGUGCCAAAAUGGUGGCAGAGGCAUUUGAUAAAAUUGAUGGAAUAAAAUGUAAUGAAGUCAUGGGAGCCAUGUAUGCAUUUCCACAAAUUACCAUUCCAACUCUAGCAAUAGAGAAAGCAAGUCACUUAAACAAGAACCUGAUUUUAUGUACUGCAUGGAACUGUUAAAUGAAACAGGUAUAUGUGUGGUACCAGGAAGUGGUUUUGGUCAAAGGAAAGGAACUUAUCAUUUUAGAAUGACUAUCCUUCCUCCUAAGGAUCAGCUACAAACUCUUCUGGAUAAAUUCAUAACUUUUAACAAAAAAUUUCAAAAAAAGUAUCAAAAAUGACAAAAAUUUUGUAUUGUUAGUAGUUAAAGUUUAUAUUUUAUUCAUGUCAAACUUAAAAUGGGUCAUAGCGAAGAUUUCAAAUAUUGCUUAAAGUAUCUUUACAUGUUGGAAGUGGGAUUGGUGUAUUUAGAAAACUUUAUUAAUACAAAGCAAAACUAAACCUGACAUAAAUUAGGCACACUUAAAUGUGAUGAUGCACAAUACAUGUAUGCAUGUAGAAAUGUGUAAUAAAUUGACAAAAAAAAAUCUGGGUAAGAAAAUAAAUAUUUCAUUGUAAA